GGGCAGCAGUAGGGAAUUUCCCAAUGGACGAAAGUCUGACGGAGCAACGCCGCGUGAGUGAUGAAGGUUUUCGGAUCGUAAAGCUCUGUUGUUAGGGAAGAACAAGUGCCGUUCAAAUAGGGCGGCACCUUGACGGUACCUAACCAGAAAGCCACGGCUAACUACGUGCCAGCAGCCGCGGUAAUACGUAGGUGGCAAGCGUUGUCCGGAAUUAUUGGGCGUAAAGGGCUCGCAGGCGGUUUCUUAAGUCUGAUGUGAAAGCCCCCGGCUCAACCGGGGAGGGUCAUUGGAAACUGGGGAACUUGAGUGCAGAAGAGGAGAGUGGAAUUCCACGUGUAGCGGUGAAAUGCGUAGAGAUGUGGAGGAACACCAGUGGCGAAGGCGACUCUCUGGUCUGUAACUGACGCUGAGGAGCGAAAGCGUGGGGAGCGAACAGGAUUAGAUACCCUGGGUAGUCC
RNAcentral lists this ribosomal RNA (458 nucleotides) under Bacillus sp. (in: firmicutes). RNAcentral describes it as "bacterial SSU rRNA". It matches the Rfam family "Bacterial small subunit ribosomal RNA", at positions 346 to 796 of the family's 1533-position model. Lineage: Bacteria; Bacillati; Bacillota; Bacilli; Caryophanales; Bacillaceae. The record is from RNAcentral.